UACGUAGGGUGCGAGCGUUGUCCGGAAUUAUUGGGCGUAAAGGGCUCGUAGGCGGUCUGUCGCGUCGGGGGUGAAAACUCAGGGCUUAACCCUGAGCCUGCUUCCGAUACGGGCAGACUAGAGGUAUGCAGGGGAGAACGGAAUUCCUGGUGUAGCGGUGAAAUGCGCAGAUAUCAGGAGGAACACCGGUGGCGAAGGCGGUUCUCUGGGCAUUACCUGACGCUGAGGAGCGAAAGUGUGGGGAGCGAACAGG
This 253-nucleotide ribosomal RNA is filed under the name uncultured bacterium. RNAcentral describes it as "partial 16S ribosomal RNA". It matches the Rfam family "Bacterial small subunit ribosomal RNA", at positions 524 to 776 of the family's 1533-position model. The record is from RNAcentral.